Chiloscyllium plagiosum (whitespotted bambooshark) is the source of this 376-nucleotide non-coding RNA. Lineage: Eukaryota; Metazoa; Chordata; Chondrichthyes; Orectolobiformes; Hemiscylliidae. The record is from RefSeq and is a predicted model, not a curated record.
CUCUUAAAGAGGUUUUAUUAAGUGCAAGACUGUUUCUUUAAAGGAUGUAAUGGCAGAUUAUGACCACUAGGGGUAUGUUUUCACCAAAUAAGGGAUACUGGCAUCACACUGCCUCUGGCACUGAAUUAAAGGACACAAAAUGGCAGAGCCAACCGACCACUGUACAAAGAUGUGAAAUUUCAGAUUAACCACAAGAACUUGAUGACACAUUUCUGCAACAUUUGAACAAAGAGAUUUGAUAUUCCACGGCCAGAUUUUGCAAGGAAAUACCAAAGAGAGCGAGAAACUUGACCAACUUGAACAGGAUGCUAUUCAAGAAAAACAAACUGAGAAGUUCUAACUGUGUAAGAACCCCCUUGAAAGGAGGAAUGCCAGC